RNAcentral lists this long non-coding RNA (1076 nucleotides) under Marmota monax (woodchuck). The record is from RNAcentral. Lineage: Eukaryota; Metazoa; Chordata; Mammalia; Rodentia; Sciuridae.
CUGAAUAUCAUUAGCCUGCCUCUCCCCAGGCCCACAGCUGAUUGAAUGUAAUUAGCAAUUAAUUGGAUGUCUGUGAAGAGACUACUUGAGAAACAUGCUGAGGUCAGGUGUGGACAGCUGUAGUGCUGUGACUCAUUCUCCCUCCCUGCACGUGGCAUUUCCUCUUGCUGGAGAGUGUGCAGUCACUCCUUCAUUCAUUUACUCAAGGCACACCUACCCAUGCCGGCUGCAGUCACUAGGCUGCACAGUAGGUCACCGGGCUGCACUGAAGGCUGGGAGGCUCUGCUUUCACUGACAGGGGUGCUAGAGAGAAAGGAGGGAGAGGCAGAUGAACCACAUUGUUUCAGAGAGUGAUAAGUGCUGCAAAGAACAAAAGACAGCAAACAGACAGCAAGAACAGUGAAACAAAUGAGAGACAUUGGGCCACAGCAAGAAAGGGCAGCAAGCGACUUUCUAGAUGAGGGGGGGAGUGGGACUGUCCUCAGGCCCUUAGGAUCUGGAGGCACAGGACAGAAUGUCCUCGAGUGUGUCCUGUUGGGAGGCUGCAGCCUGAGGUGGAGAUCUUGAGGACAUGUUCUGCAGUGUCCUUGGCCACUCAUUUCUUCAUUCAUUCAACAGAUGUUUAUUGCUGGUCUGUAAGUCCCAGGUACUAGUCCAGGCUUUAAAGGAACAUUAGUGAACAAGAUACCCACCUCCCCCGUACCCCUGGAUCCUUAUUUUCUGUUGGGGACAAAUGGACCAAAAAAACCCCCAAAAACAACCAAUAAUUUUUACGCCAUGUUAGGUGAGUGCUAUGCAGGAGAAACAAUGUGAGGGUUUGGAGGUUAUGGGCUGCAGUGAUCAAGAGAGGGUGGUCAACACCGGCCAAGCAGAGGAGGUGAAAUUGACCAGAGACCUGAAUGAGGACAGGACUCAGCCAUGUGACUCCGGGGAAGAAGACUGCAGCCCGGCGAACAGGGAGGCUUGAGCAGGCUGCAUGUCUGUAGGAGGAAGGCAAAGGCAGGUGGGCUCUGGAGGCCCCAGGAUCUGAGAGAGCUCAGCCCGUGCACAAAGCAUCCCAGCAAGAUGUGGGAGAG